UACGUAGGGGGCAAGCGUUGUCCGGAAUCAUUGGGCGUAAAGCGCGCGUAGGCGGCCCGGUAAGUCCGUUGUGAAAGUCAAAGGCUCAACCUUUGAACGCCGAUGGAUACUGCCGGGCUAGAGUCCGGAAGAGGCGAGUGGAAUUCCUGGUGUAGCGGUGGAAUGCGCAGAUAUCAGGAGGAACCCCAAUAGCGAAGGCAGCUCGCUGGGACGGUACUUACGCUGAGGCGCGAAAGCGUGGGGAGCGAACAGG
Molecule: ribosomal RNA, 253 nt
Filed under: uncultured bacterium
Lineage: Bacteria
Description: partial 16S ribosomal RNA
Rfam family: Bacterial small subunit ribosomal RNA
Source: RNAcentral